This 460-nucleotide ribosomal RNA is filed under the name uncultured bacterium. RNAcentral's name for it is "partial 16S ribosomal RNA". It matches the Rfam family "Bacterial small subunit ribosomal RNA", at positions 342 to 795 of the family's 1533-position model. The record is from RNAcentral.
CGGGGGGCUCCAGCAGUAAGGAAUAUUGGGCAAUGGACGCAAGUCUGACCCAGCCAUGCCGCGUGCAGGAUGACAGCCCUACGGGUUGUAAACUGCUUUUAUACGGGAAAAAUUCCCCGGUCGUGAAUCGGGGUUGAUGGUACCGUAAGAAUAAGCAUCGGCUAACUCCGUGCCAGCAGCCGCGGUAAUACGGAGGAUGCAAGCGUUAUCCGGAUUCAUUGGGUUUAAAGGGUGCGUAGGCGGAAUGAUAAGUCAGUGGUGAAAUCCUACAGCUUAACUGUAGAACUGCCAUUGAUACUGUUGUUCUUGAGUACAUUUGAAGUGGGCGGAAUGUGUCAUGUAGCGGUGAAAUGCAUAGAGAUGACACAGAACACCGAUCGCGAAGGCAGCUCACUAAACUGUAACUGACGCUGAGGCACGAAGGCGUGGGGAUCAAACAGGAUUAGAUACCCCCGUAGUC